Molecule: long non-coding RNA, 730 nt
Organism: Heterocephalus glaber (naked mole-rat)
Lineage: Eukaryota; Metazoa; Chordata; Mammalia; Rodentia; Bathyergidae
Source: RefSeq, a predicted model, not a curated record
CUGGGCCGCAGUACACAGGCGCCCAGGCCUUGCUCCGCCCCUCGGAUAAAGAAGCCAGAAAGUCUUGGACCUUGGACUUUGGGCCUGAGCGGAAAGAGCGGGAAGAUAUCCCCUACACAGAAAAAAGAAAAUGUGAACAAUACUUUCCUCAGAUGGUUGUGAUGUAAGUCAGAUGUACUGCAGAAGAUGUGAAUCAGAUCCACUGGUGAACUCGGCUGUGAGAAAACUUGGAGUUUAAGAGACACCACAUGGAUCUCCCAGGACAAUUUCCGGACUCAGACAAGGGACACUGGUGUGUUGGAGACAGAAGCAAGGGCCUUCACACUGUAAACCAGCCCCUUUUAUUUUGAGAGGGACUAAGUCACCAAGGAUGAGCUCGAAAUUUUGAACCUCCUGUUUCAACCUCCCAAAGUGCUGGGAUUACAGGUAUAUGCCAACAUGCCCAGGUUCCAUAUAUCUCUUUCAACAACUAACUUCAAAUUUGUAGGUAAGUUGUUUCUGUUCGCUUUUCCUAAUUCCUCAUUUCUUAGCUCAGUUGCAUAUAUUUUCUUUCACACACAAGUUUCUCAAAGAUCUAAAAUUUCUCUAUUGUUACAUUUAUGAACCAUACUGAAGAAAAUUUAUGGUUUAAAAACUAGAGUUUGCAUUUUUAUUUGUUUUUUGACACAGGGUCCCACUUUAUAUUCAGGCUGGCCUUGAAGUCAUUAUGCAGCCCAGAUUGGUCUUGAAC